This is a long non-coding RNA of Oncorhynchus masou masou (cherry salmon), 687 nucleotides long. RefSeq lists it as uncharacterized. Lineage: Eukaryota; Metazoa; Chordata; Actinopteri; Salmoniformes; Salmonidae. The transcript has 3 exons. The record is from RefSeq and is a predicted model, not a curated record.
UCCAACUUCAUUGAAUGAUCCCGCCUGGUGACUGUUAGCGUCAUGUCCAACCGGGUCAUCAGGAUGGAUCAGCCAAUCAUGAAGAAGAAAAUGUACUACUUCAAAAUUGAGUGACAGCAUCGGCAGGGCAGGCAGACACUAUAAUGUCACAGAUACAAAGAUGAGUCCUCUAUCUAUCUUUAUGGAUGAGACAAUAGUUGCAAGUUCAAAGAGUAAUUUGCAUGGUUUGAGUCGUUUUCUGUGAAAAAUGGUAUCAGCGGCGUUUAAAGAAGUCCAAUCUCUCUUUACUCCCGUGACGGUUUAUUCUCUGCUGGCCUGCGCUGCUCAGUUCGUCGUGGGUUACAUCCUCGCGCAGAUAUGGGGACGAAAAUGCUCUGGAACUGAUAGAUGGGUGCUCGUGUGGCUUUUCUACCACGUAAUUUCACACAUUACCUUGGGAAGGAGUAUGGAAAGGCAGAUGAGCGCUGGCUACACUCUGACCCCACCAUCGUCUCCUUGGAGCUGCUGACGGUGGCCCUGGAUGGCAUCCUGGCGCUGGUGCUUGUCUAUGCCAUUGUCAAGGACAAACACUACAGGCACUUUGUCCAGAUCGUGUGUGUGUGUGUGUGUGUGUGUUGUACGGAGGCUGGGUGACCUUCUGUCCAGACUGGCUGGCAGACAGCCCCAACCUCAAAUCAGACCACUGGC